This 17-nucleotide small RNA is filed under the name Arabidopsis thaliana (thale cress). The record is from RNAcentral. Lineage: Eukaryota; Viridiplantae; Streptophyta; Magnoliopsida; Brassicales; Brassicaceae.
UGAACCGAACGUGAAAG